This 305-nucleotide ribosomal RNA is filed under the name uncultured bacterium. Its description in RNAcentral is "bacterial SSU rRNA". It matches the Rfam family "Bacterial small subunit ribosomal RNA", at positions 335 to 657 of the family's 1533-position model. The record is from RNAcentral.
GCUCCUACGGGAGGCAGCAGUGGGGGAUAUUGCACAAUGGGGGAAACCCUGAUGCAGCGACGCCGCGUGAGUGAAGAAGUAUUUCGGUAUGUAAAGCUCUAUCAGCAGGGAAGAAGAUGACAGUACCUGAGUAAGAAGCCCCGGCUAACUACGUGCCAGCAGCCGCGGUAAUACGUAGGGGGCAAGCGUUAUCCGGAUUCACUGGGUGUAAAGGGAGCGUAGACGGCCAUGCAAGCCUGGAGUGAAAGCCCGGGGCCCAACCCCGGGACUGCUCUGGGAACUGUGCGGCUGGAGUGCGGGAGGGG